Molecule: ribosomal RNA, 252 nt
Filed under: uncultured bacterium
Lineage: Bacteria
Description: partial 16S ribosomal RNA
Rfam family: Bacterial small subunit ribosomal RNA
Source: RNAcentral
UACGGAGGAUGCGAGCGUUAUCCGGAUUUAUUGGGUUUAAAGGGUGCGCAGGCGGCACGGCAAGCCGGCGGUCAAAUCGCGGGGCUCAACCCCGCCCAGCCAUCGGAACUGCCGGGCUAGAGUGGGCGAGAAGUGCGCGGAAUGCGUGGUGUAGCGGUGAAAUGCAUAGAUAUCACGCAGAACUCCGAUUGCGAAGGCAGCGCACCGGCGCCCUACUGACGCUCAGGCACGAAAGCGUGGGUAUCGAACAGG